Long non-coding RNA from Leptinotarsa decemlineata (Colorado potato beetle), 370 nucleotides. Lineage: Eukaryota; Metazoa; Arthropoda; Insecta; Coleoptera; Chrysomelidae. The record is from RefSeq and is a predicted model, not a curated record.
AAGGGUAGAGGGCAGGGUUUCUUAGUACAGCGUUUGUACUCACCACUUUUGGUUUUUAGAGUCACUACACGCACAAUGCCGUCUUCUCCUGGAUGGAUUGCGGUGAUUCUUUUCAUGGACCAAACAAGUGGGGGUAUAUUGUCUUCAUGGAUCAGAACUAUAUCUUCAACUUGAAUCCUGCUAGUUGAUCAACAACGUUGAUGCGAGCUAAUAAGGUCAUUUGGAUCCGAGGAUGAAGGAGAUAAAGGACGAGAGUUCAAUAUCGUUGCGAUCUCAAUUAUAUAUGUUUCUAAUUGUUUAUAUGUAAGCAACGUAUGUAUGUGAAUGUUUUUUAAAUAAUUUGACUGCAGCUUACCAAAGUCCUUCAAAA